Molecule: ribosomal RNA, 2903 nt
Filed under: Salmonella enterica subsp. enterica
Lineage: Bacteria; Pseudomonadati; Pseudomonadota; Gammaproteobacteria; Enterobacterales; Enterobacteriaceae
Description: bacterial LSU rRNA
Rfam family: Bacterial large subunit ribosomal RNA
Source: RNAcentral
UUAAGCGACUAAGCGUACACGGUGGAUGCCCUGGCAGUCAGAGGCGAUGAAGGGCGUGCUAAUCUGCGAUAAGCGCCGGUAAGGUGAUAUGAACCGUUAUAACCGGCGAUACCCGAAUGGGGAAACCCAGUGUGACUCGUCACACUAUCAUUAACUGAAUCCAUAGGUUAAUGAGGCGAACCGGGGAACUGAAACAUCUAAGUACCCCGAGGAAAAGAAAUCAACCGAGAUUCCCCCAGUAGCGGCGAGCGAACGGGGAGGAGCCAGAGCCUGAAUCAGCAUGUGUGUUAGUGGAAGCGUCUGGAAAGGCGCGCGAUACAGGGGUGACAGCCCCGUACACAAAAGCGCAUGUGCUGUGAGCUCGAUGAGUAGGGCGGGACACGUGGUAUCCUGUCUGAAUAUGGGGGGACCAUCCUCCAAGGCUAAAUACUCCUGACUGACCGAUAGUGAACCAGUACCGUGAGGGAAAGGCGAAAAGAACCCCGGCGAGGGGAGUGAAAAAGAACCUGAAACCGUGUACGUACAAGCAGUGGGAGCACAGGUUUACCUGUGUGACUGCGUACCUUUUGUAUAAUGGGUCAGCGACUUAUAUUCUGUAGCAAGGUUAACCGCAUAGGGGAGCCGGAGGGAAACCGAGUCUUAAUUGGGCGUUAAGUUGCAGGGUAUAGACCCGAAACCCGGUGAUCUAGCCAUGGGCAGGUUGAAGGUUGGGUAACACUAACUGGAGGACCGAACCGACUAAUGUUGAAAAAUUAGCGGAUGACCUGUGGCUGGGGGUGAAAGGCCAAUCAAACCGGGAGAUAGCUGGUUCUCCCCGAAAGCUAUUUAGGUAGCGCCUCGUGAAUUCAUCUCCGGGGGUAGAGCACUGUUUCGGCUAGGGGGCCAUCCCGGCUUACCAACCCGAUGCAAACUGCGAAUACCGGAGAAUGUUAUCACGGGAGACACACGGCGGGUGCUAACGUCCGUCGUGAAGAGGGAAACAACCCAGACCGCCAGCUAAGGUCCCAAAGUCAUGGUUAAGUGGGAAACGAUGUGGGAAGGCCCAGACAGCCAGGAUGUUGGCUUAGAAGCAGCCAUCAUUUAAAGAAAGCGUAAUAGCUCACUGGUCGAGUCGGCCUGCGCGGAAGAUGUAACGGGGCUAAACCAUGCACCGAAGCUGCGGCAGCGACACUGUGUGUUGUUGGGUAGGGGAGCGUUCUGUAAGCCUGCGAAGGUGGCCUGUGAGGGUUGCUGGAGGUAUCAGAAGUGCGAAUGCUGACAUAAGUAACGAUAAAGCGGGUGAAAAGCCCGCUCGCCGGAAGACCAAGGGUUCCUGUCCAACGUUAAUCGGGGCAGGGUGAGUCGACCCCUAAGGCGAGGCCGAAAGGCGUAGUCGAUGGGAAACGGGUUAAUAUUCCCGUACUUGGUGUUACUGCGAAGGGGGGACGGAGAAGGCUAUGUUGGCCGGGCGACGGUUGUCCCGGUUUAAGCGUGUAGGUGUGUGUUCCAGGUAAAUCCGGUUCACUUUAACACUGAGGCGUGACGACGAGGCACUACGGUGCUGAAGCAACAAAUGCCCUGCUUCCAGGAAAAGCCUCUAAGCAUCAGGUAACAUCAAAUCGUACCCCAAACCGACACAGGUGGUCAGGUAGAGAAUACCAAGGCGCUUGAGAGAACUCGGGUGAAGGAACUAGGCAAAAUGGUGCCGUAACUUCGGGAGAAGGCACGCUGACACGUAGGUGAAGUGAUUUACUCAUGGAGCUGAAGUCAGUCGAAGAUACCAGCUGGCUGCAACUGUUUAUUAAAAACACAGCACUGUGCAAACACGAAAGUGGACGUAUACGGUGUGACGCCUGCCCGGUGCCGGAAGGUUAAUUGAUGGGGUCAGCGCAAGCGAAGCUCCUGAUCGAAGCCCCGGUAAACGGCGGCCGUAACUAUAACGGUCCUAAGGUAGCGAAAUUCCUUGUCGGGUAAGUUCCGACCUGCACGAAUGGCGUAAUGAUGGCCAGGCUGUCUCCACCCGAGACUCAGUGAAAUUGAACUCGCUGUGAAGAUGCAGUGUACCCGCGGCAAGACGGAAAGACCCCGUGAACCUUUACUAUAGCUUGACACUGAACAUUGAGCCUUGAUGUGUAGGAUAGGUGGGAGGCUUUGAAGUGUGGACGCCAGUCUGCAUGGAGCCGACCUUGAAAUACCACCCUUUAAUGUUUGAUGUUCUAACGUGGACCCGUAAUCCGGGUUGCGGACAGUGUCUGGUGGGUAGUUUGACUGGGGCGGUCUCCUCCUAAAGAGUAACGGAGGAGCACGAAGGUUGGCUAAUCCUGGUCGGACAUCAGGAGGUUAGUGCAAUGGCAUAAGCCAGCUUGACUGCGAGCGUGACGGCGCGAGCAGGUGCGAAAGCAGGUCAUAGUGAUCCGGUGGUUCUGAAUGGAAGGGCCAUCGCUCAACGGAUAAAAGGUACUCCGGGAUAACAGGCUGAUACCGCCCAAGAGUUCAUAUCGACGGCGGUGUUUGGCACCUCGAUGUCGGCUCAUCACAUCCUGGGGCUGAAGUAGGUCCCAAGGGUAUGGCUGUUCGCCAUUUAAAGUGGUACGCGAGCUGGGUUUAGAACGUCGUGAGACAGUUCGGUCCCUAUCUGCCGUGGGCGCUGGAGAACUGAGGGGGGCUGCUCCUAGUACGAGAGGACCGGAGUGGACGCAUCACUGGUGUUCGGGUUGUCAUGCCAAUGGCACUGCCCGGUAGCUAAAUGCGGAAGAGAUAAGUGCUGAAAGCAUCUAAGCACGAAACUUGCCCCGAGAUGAGUUCUCCCUGAGACUUAGAGUCUCCUGAAGGAACGUUGAAGACGACGACGUUGAUAGGCCGGGUGUGUAAGCGCAGCGAUGCGUUGAGCUAACCGGUACUAAUGAACCGUGAGGCUUAACCUU